CUACGGGGGGCUGCAGUGGGGAAUAUUGCGCAAUGGGGGCAACCCUGACGCAGCAACGCCGCGUGAUUGAAGAAGGCCUUCGGGUUGUAAAUAUCUUUAAUUGGGGACGAAACAAAUGACGGUACCCAAAGAAUCAGCUCCGGCUAACUACGUGCCAGCAGCCGCGGUAAUACGUAGGGAGCAAGCGUUAUCCGGAUUUACUGGGUGUAAAGGGCGAGUAGGCGGGCUGGCAAGUUGGGAGUGAAAUCCCGGGGCUUAACCCCGGAACUGCUUUCAACACUGCUGGUCUUGAGUGAUGGAGAGGCAGGCGGAAUUCCGGGUGUAGCGGUGAAAUGCGUAGAUAUACGGAGGAACACCAGUGGCGAAGGCGGCAAUCUGGCUGGAAACUGACGCUGAGGUGCGAAAGCGUGGGUAGCAAACAGGAUUAGAUACCCGAGUAGUC
RNAcentral lists this ribosomal RNA (442 nucleotides) under uncultured bacterium. RNAcentral's name for it is "partial 16S ribosomal RNA". It matches the Rfam family "Bacterial small subunit ribosomal RNA", at positions 339 to 795 of the family's 1533-position model. The record is from RNAcentral.